This is an RNA transcript of Nerophis ophidion (straightnose pipefish), 4352 nucleotides long. It is a transcript of the gene named sushi domain-containing protein 6-like, with no coding region annotated. Lineage: Eukaryota; Metazoa; Chordata; Actinopteri; Syngnathiformes; Syngnathidae. The record is from RefSeq and is a predicted model, not a curated record. The transcript is spliced from 10 exons.
UAUGGAGGCAGUACUGCCUCGAGCCGUCAGUGCAGCCUACGAGUUCAUCAUCUGGCUAGCUAAGGGUAGCAUGAGCAGGCUAGCCGUUAGGUAGCUAGUUGGUUAGCCGCAUUUAGUCUCAGUUUUUGAUGAACAUUAAAGUAGGACCUGUUCAUCAUUAUUAGAUGCCAGCAUUGUGAGAAAGCGAAGGUGGAGAAUCCGACGCCGUGUUUGAGUGGGUGUGUUGGCUGCAGGGGAAGAUGUGCAAUGGGAAGACAGAGGCAACAUCAGAAGCCUGUCAGAGCCACACUUGCCUUCAUUUGUUAUUCUGCUUGUUGCUGGCACUGGCAGUGGUUGCUUCAGGGCAAGGUUUAGGAUGCGUGAGGCCGUACAUGGUUGAAAACAGCUGGGUAAACCACACAGAAACCAACAGGGGCUUGUUCCCUGUAGGGACAGUGCUGCAGUACAGCUGUGACCCUGGUUAUCUGCCAGAUAGACCCAGCAUUCUCACCUGCAUCUCGACAGGACGCUGGUCCUCAGAACCACCUCAGUGCACACAGAGUGAUGCUUGUCUGCCCCUGUCUGAACCAGAGAAUGGGGGUUACACCUGCCACCCAUCCCCCUGUCGAUUGUUUUCCCACGGCACUGUUGUUGAGUUCUUCUGUCACACAGGCUUCAUGCUCAAGGGGAAAUACAACUACCUUACUUGUCAGGAUGGACAGUGGGACGGCCAUAUGCAGAUCAGCUGUGUCAAACGAGGUUGUUUAAGACCUUCAAUGGAGCAGCACAUUUCCUCUAAGCUGAUGGACACCAACAUCAGUUCCUUCCCCGUGGGGGCCGUGCUGCAGUAUCGCUGUGACCCAGGUUACCAGCCUGACGGACCUACCAUCAUCAGCUGCACUGGUUUGGGACACUGGUCCUCAAAACCUCCUCUUUGUUUACGCACUGAUGUAUGCCAGCCUCCAUAUCAACCAGAAAAUGGAGGCUACACCUGCCACCCUUCCCAAUGUCAAAGACUUUCUCACGGUACUGUGAUUGAGUAUUUCUGCGAUGAGGGUUACAUUCUGAAAGGAGACUAUAAAUACCUCACCUGUCAAUAUGGCAAGUGGGAUGGGCUAAUGCAGAUAACCUGCGUAUUGGAGCAAGACCGUGACAGGAUUUUACCGUUGGGGAUGCCGGCUCUUUCCAUCGUGUCAUCCACAGCCAGCUCGGUGGCCCUCAUCCUGUUCCUGGUGGUACUCUUUGUGCUUUUGCAGCCAAAACUGAAGUAUUUUCAUUGGCGGGAUCAGGGGGUGUCAGGCCAGUCCGUGUCCAUCAUGGUGGAAGGAGUGCAGGUAGCUCUGCCCUCAUACGAGGAGGCAGUCAGCAGUAACACCAGCUCAGCCACGGCUCUCGACUUCGAGUCUCGUGUCCAGAUUGUGCUGUCUGAGGGGCAGCAAGCCACAACGCCAGUGGCUGGCCCCUCUCGGCCUCCGUCCGUCAAAGAGCUGCCCUCAGAGAUGGCCAUGGUGCACUCUUUGCCGCCUUCAUCGUCGGCAUCACCCUCCUCAUCCUCUAGCUGGACUCUAGAGAAUGCAAGCGCUGCAGCUCUGCAAUCCGGGGACCAGCACAGCCUCAAUGUGCUGGACUCGGAGAUGGACAGCUCUGACGAUAUGCCAUUACUGAAGGAUGCCUGAAACAUGCAAUACAUUGGAUGAUGCAGAGACAGCAAGUUUUGCUACUGAUGGCAUGUCAAACUUACUUUGGACUGAGUCUGCACAUGGUGGACAUGACGAAUCCCAGGACAAAGCCUAUGAAGGGCAUCAGAGCUGCCACAGUCAAAACAUCAGCGGUGAGGAUCAUCCACAAAAUAUCUUUGACCGCCAGGCCAGACAAGGUGAACAAGAUGACGCUGGAGAUGAUCAGUAUGCCUAAACCAGACUUUUAGCAAAGUCAAGCAGAACAUUUAUCGCAUCACGUUGAAACACUGCAUUUAAGGCAAGGUAGGAGGAAAACAUGGCAUUCAUUAUGUGGGAACAUGUGGGAUCAUUUACUUUUGUAUUUGUGGAGAACUUCCUGUUGUUGAGAAGAUAAGCACCAUUGCUGGUUCUUUAGCCUGAUCUGUGACUCUUUAUAUGAGCGGUGUUUUUGUUUGGAAAAUGUCUUGAACAAGAAAUGAUAUUACCUUCAAGACCACCGGAGUGUAUUUCGGCUUGUAUUGAUUGAUAGCGAUGCCCAUGGCGCAGGGCACCAGGGUGAAGGCGAGAGCCGUGAUGAUGCCGACAUAGGGCACAGCGUUCUCCAAGCCGCUGAAGCCCUGGCUGUAGACGUAGAGCAGCAAGGGCAUCAGACCCAGAGCUGCAAUGCAGGAGCAGGUGGUCAUCACUAUGCUUGAAAGAGAAAAAAAGGAAGAUUUUAAUAGGAUACGCAUACAGGUCAAAUUAUAUUCAUUCCUUUUAUACAGCGGACUUUGGGUACACAUGGACUGCUCACCAGUCAAUCACAAACAACCAUUCAACAAGCUGACAAAGUGGGAUGAUAACCAUAGAAUUGGAAAUCUGACAUCCUGCAACAUUGGAAAGGGUCUUGCUCCUCAGUACAAUCUCAGGGCAUUCAAUCGAUCACAACUGGAGUGUUUUUUUAACGUUAUGCCUAUUCACAACCGUUAUGAUUUUAAGCACACAUAUGUUUUCCCUUUUCAUGCAUUCUAACUAGUAAACUGAAGCUAACAAUAGAUGUAAUGUGACUCACUCUAUUCUGUCUAUAAAGUGCCCUAAAUAUUAUCCAAAAAACGUAAUCACCGUCUUAUUUACAUGCUGUAAGUGUAUUUGUAGUGUAAUGUACUACUUUGUAAAAGGAACAUUCAUAUUAACAUGUAAUAUUUACAUAUUUUGGUAAUUUUUUGUGUACGGCAGCUUUUGCUAUUUCCUUGAAUUGAAUUGAAUUUAAAUAUUUUAUUUCAAACCUGCACAGUACAACUAAACACAGUUUUUGUUUUUUUUUACAUGUUGGCAAAAAUAUUUAUGCGAGGCUUGAAAAGGGGUUGGAUGAAGCAGCUGCUUAUAAUAGCCCAACCCCUCUCACUCAUUCCACAUUUAACAUAAACAAUAUAAUACAAGAACAAUACUCUAUAAACAAAACAAGAAAAACUCCUGUACACUAACAAUACCAUGAGACAAGACAAGACGAGACAAAACACACACACGCACACACACACACACACACUCGGGCCCAAACACUCUCCGACCAUACACCUCUCUCCCAUCGCUCUGUGCUGAGGGCAUCACUCUCUUUCCUCCUCGUACUUCUUCAGUACUUCUUUUUUAAACAGCAUUUUAAAUCAACAACAACAACUGCAAAUCAUGUCAGACUUAAUGAGAGACAACAACGACUACUCUGGGUCCAAUGAUGAUUAGAAACCUUAUAUUUCUGAGCCUGCAUAUAAGGAGGAUGAGCUACAAGUUUUAGAGGCUGAUUGAUAAGCAUAUCCUAACCAUAGGACCGAGGCUCAUUGUCCGACCGCGAGUGCCUCCUAUUUGUUUUUCAGCUCUGGUCUUAAAGGGCCGCAGCGGUACUCAGUUGUAAUACACUUUUACACUACUUGCGGCAGUAAUAACAAAAACAAACAGAAGAAGUCUGGAUCUAAAGUUUGUACACUGCUCUCGACCCUGACUUUUUCAGACUAUUUUUAAGGGGAAAAAAACGUCUUAUAUUGAGAGUUAAGUAGCACAGAUUAGUUUGGGAAAAUACCACACCUGCUGCAUUUUGUAAGGAGUGCAGUAACUAAUGCAGAAGUCAUCAUUUCAAUUGAACCUACGAUUUACCUGAGGUUCAUGUCUCCCUUGAGGGCCAAAGCGAAGAUAUUGGACAGGUUUCCUCCAGGACAGCAGCCACAGAUGAGCACCGUCACAGCCUUAAUGGAAUCCAUCUUCAGUAAUUUAGCAAGACAGAACGCAGUCAAAGGCAUGAUUCCGAAUUGGGCCACAAUGGCGAUGGCGACCCCUUUCGGUCUCAGCAGAUGGGUCCUGAUUUUGGAAAUCUCCAUCGUACAUCCCAGAGAUGUCAUGGUGAUGAAGAGGAGGAGGAUGGAGAGGAUGUUGAUGGCUUUGUUGAGAGGAGAGGAUGUGUCAAGCACUGCCAUGCUGCCGUUGUAGGACAUGUUGCCUCCAUUGUGAAGGAUGAAAAUGCCCUGGUAGGCGUCCGUCACAUUCAUGGCGGUUCUUUCUUAGUGCAGCUUUUACUGGAACCUUGUUACCUGUCGCAAAAAGAAAAUCUUUUUUCAAUAUACAAACCCCGUUUCCAUAUCAAUCAAUCAAUCAAUGUUUACUUAUAUAGCCCUAAAUCACUAGUGUCUCAAAGGGCUGCGUUGUGAAAUUGUGUUAGUAGUAAAUAUA